RNAcentral lists this long non-coding RNA (663 nucleotides) under Lathyrus oleraceus (garden pea). RNAcentral describes it as "Pisum sativum (pea) long non-coding RNA (PSAT_LNC004081)". The record is from RNAcentral. Lineage: Eukaryota; Viridiplantae; Streptophyta; Magnoliopsida; Fabales; Fabaceae.
AUAUAUAUAUAUAUAAAAGAAUACAAACUUUAUACGCUAUAAAAAGAUUAAAUCAUAUUUUUAUCUUUUACUUGUAAAGUGAAAAAUAUAUGGCAGAAAUUCUCAAAUUAUUUUAUAUUUGGAUUCUUUAUGUUUCGUUAUUUCUUUUCACAUCACAUGUUGUUGGUAAACCAUUUUUUCUAUUUCUUGUUAAAUUUCUUCUAUGCUUUGAAGUUUAUACACACUUUUUAUCACGUGUUUGUAACAUUAUUUCAUAAUCUCUUUUCAUUGCAGGAAAACUUAUUAAAUUUCCAAUAUUGAAAUGUAAAACUGUUGCCGAUUGUCCAAAAUUUAUUACCAAAUGGGUAGCUAUUAUGUGCGUUGAUCAGUGUUGUGCGAUUGUAUACUAGGAGGAUACAAAAAUGCUUCAUUGAGGAGUAUGAGUUAUAAUAUUUAAAAGAUAAGCAUUUAGUAUAUUAUGAUAGAACAUAUUCUAUAAAAUAAAUUUGAUUUAUUGUAUGGGAAUUUUUUAAUUUUUUUAAUUUAUGAAUCUUGUAUUUAUGAUUUCGUACUCUAAAAUGAGGGUAAGAAAAUAUUAUUGUAAUUUUCUUAUUCUCUCUAAAAAUUUAAGUUAUCAAUAUGACAUGUAUCGAAUUCAUGCAUAUCACCAUAUUUCUAACUCCA